RNAcentral lists this ribosomal RNA (403 nucleotides) under Streptococcus mitis. RNAcentral's name for it is "bacterial SSU rRNA". It matches the Rfam family "Bacterial small subunit ribosomal RNA", at positions 28 to 421 of the family's 1533-position model. Lineage: Bacteria; Bacillati; Bacillota; Bacilli; Lactobacillales; Streptococcaceae. The record is from RNAcentral.
GACGAACGCUGGCGGCGUGCCUAAUACAUGCAAGUAGAACGCUGAAGGAGGAGCUUGCUUCUCUGGAUGAGUUGCGAACGGGUGAGUAACGCGUAGGUAACCUGCCUGGUAGCGGGGGAUAACUAUUGGAAACGAUAGCUAAUACCGCAUAAGAGUAGAUGUUGCAUGACAUUUGCUUAAAAGGUGCAAUUGCAUCACUACCAGAUGGACCUGCGUUGUAUUAGCUAGUUGGUGAGGUAACGGCUCACCAAGGCAACGAUACAUAGCCGACCUGAGAGGGUGAUCGGCCACACUGGGACUGAGACACGGCCCAGACUCCUACGGGAGGCAGCAGUAGGGAAUCUUCGGCAAUGGACGGAAGUCUGACCGAGCAACGCCGCGUGAGUGAAGAAAGGUUUUUCGG